This 229-nucleotide unclassified non-coding RNA is filed under the name plant metagenome. Its description in RNAcentral is "partial contains small subunit ribosomal RNA, internal transcribed spacer 1, and 5.8S ribosomal RNA". The record is from RNAcentral.
UCUCCGUAGGUGAACCUGCGGAGGGAUCAUUACAGAGUUCAUGCCCUACCGGGUAGAUCUCCCACCCUAUGUUAUUAUUACUUUGUUGCUUUGGCGGGCCGUUAGGCUCCGGCCCGACUACCGGCCCCGGCUGGUAAGCGCCCGCCAGAGGACCCAAAACCCUGAAUAUUAGUGUCUUCUGAGUACUAUAUAAUAGUUAAAACUUUCAACAACGGAUCUCUUGGUUCUG